RNAcentral lists this ribosomal RNA (320 nucleotides) under uncultured Prevotella sp. Its description in RNAcentral is "bacterial SSU rRNA". It matches the Rfam family "Bacterial small subunit ribosomal RNA", at positions 28 to 339 of the family's 1533-position model. The record is from RNAcentral. Lineage: Bacteria; Pseudomonadati; Bacteroidota; Bacteroidia; Bacteroidales; Prevotellaceae.
GAUGAACGCUAGCUACAGGCUUAACACAUGCAAGUCGAGGGGCAGCAUGAUCGAAGCUUGCUUUGAUUGAUGGCGACCGGCGCACGGGUGAGUAACGCGUAUCCAACCUUCCCUAUAGUAGAGGAUAGCCCGGCGAAAGUCGGAUUAAUACUCUAUGUUUUCCAAUGCAGACAUCUAAGUUGGAACAAAGGUUCACCGCUAUAGGAUGGGGAUGCGUCUGAUUAGGUAGUCGGCGGGGUAACGGCCCACCGAGCCAACGAUCAGUAGGGGUUCUGAGAGGAAGGUCCCCCACAUUGGAACUGAGACACGGUCCAAACUCC